RNAcentral lists this ribosomal RNA (369 nucleotides) under uncultured eukaryote. RNAcentral describes it as "SSU rRNA". It matches the Rfam family "Eukaryotic small subunit ribosomal RNA", at positions 592 to 957 of the family's 1831-position model. The record is from RNAcentral.
CAAUAGCGUAUAUUAAAGUUGUUGCGGUAAAAAAGCUCGUAGUUGGAUUUCUGUUGAAGACGUCCGGUCCAUACCACGUAUGCGCAUCUGGCUCGGCUUCGGCAUCCUCUCGAAAGACGUUUCUGCGCUUGAUUGCGUGGAGCGGAUCUCGGGACUUUUACUUUGAGGAAAUUAGAGUGUUCACGGCAGGCUAUCGCCAGAAUACAUUAGCAGUGGAAUAAUACUAUAGGAUCUCGGUUCUUAUUUUGGUUUGGUUUCUAGAAUUGAGAUAAUGAUUAAGUAGGGACAAGUUGGGGGCAUUCGUAUCAACACGUUAGAGGUAGAAAUUCUUGGAUCGUGUUGCGACGAACUACUGACGAAAGCUAUUUG